Molecule: non-coding RNA, 144 nt
Organism: Gossypium arboreum
Lineage: Eukaryota; Viridiplantae; Streptophyta; Magnoliopsida; Malvales; Malvaceae
Source: Rfam
UAUUAAAAUUUCAUCUAUUUAUAUUGGUAAAAACUUGUAUUGUUGAUAGAAUAACUGAAUAGUAACAUGUAACGUGUUAUAUAUAUCUCAUGUCAGCAUAUAGAGAUAAAUUUUUAGUAAUAUAAAUGGAUAAAUUUUUUAAUA